AUUUGAUGAGUUUAUACGUUGAAAUUAAAAGCAAUUUCAAACUCAUAAAACUCACCUCACAACUGGGUGACACAGAAACACACACUCUCUCAAUCUAUUUCUCACUCCAUCUCUCUCUCUCUCUUAGCCGCAACGCAAUGCAUAGGCAAUCUCUGGGUUCAUCAUCAUCGAAGCUCCACAACCAUGGAGUAAUCAAUGAAAAAGAAGAAAAAGAAGAAGAAGAAACCGUAAAACUCACCGACUCUUUUUGCCACCACAACUUCCUCCACCUCAUCCCAAUCCUCACUCUUCUCUGCUUCUUCCUUCUCUACCUCUUCUCUCACCCUCUCUCUCCUUCAGACCUGGAUCAAUUCACUCACUCCAGCCAUCAUCGUAACCUUUUAGGAGAUUAGAGAAAUUGAUCAACAUUACAUGGAUGGAAAAAGAGGCGAUGUUUUGAUUCUCCGAAACCUUCACAGAAAACUCGCCGAUU
RNAcentral lists this long non-coding RNA (472 nucleotides) under Lupinus mutabilis. RNAcentral's name for it is "partial ncRNA". Lineage: Eukaryota; Viridiplantae; Streptophyta; Magnoliopsida; Fabales; Fabaceae. The record is from RNAcentral.